This 372-nucleotide ribosomal RNA is filed under the name uncultured organism. Its description in RNAcentral is "bacterial SSU rRNA". It matches the Rfam family "Bacterial small subunit ribosomal RNA", at positions 526 to 896 of the family's 1533-position model. The record is from RNAcentral.
CAGAGGGUGCAAGCGUUGUUCGGAAUUAUUGGGCGUAAAGCGCGUGUAGGCGGCUUUGCAAGUCGGGUGUGAAAGCCCUCGGCUCAACCGAGGAAGUGCGCCCGAAACUGCAGAGCUUGAGUACCGGAGAGGAUGGCGGAAUUCCCCAAGUAGAGGUGAAAUUCGUAGAUAUGGGGAGGAACACCGGUGGCGAAGGCGGCCAUCUGGACGGAUACUGACGCUGAGACGCGAAAGCGUGGGUAGCAAACAGGAUUAGAUACCCUGGUAGUCCACGCUGUAAACGAUGAGAACUAGGUGUCGUGGGUGUUGACCCCCGCGGUGCCGUAGCUAACGCGUUAAGUUCUCCGCCUGGGAAGUACGGUCGCAAGACUA